GACGAAGGAUGCAAGCGUUAUCCGGAUUCAUUGGGUUUAAGGGGAGCGUAGGCGGACUUGUAAGUCAGUGGUGAAAUCUGUGGGCUUAACCCACAAACUGCCAUUGAUACUGCAGGUCUAGAGUACAGUUGCCGUUGGCGGAAUAUGACAUGUAGUGGUGAAAUACUUAGAUAUGUCAUAGAACACCGAUUGCGAAGGCAGCUAACGAAGCUGUAACUGACGCUGAGGCUCGAAAGUGCGGGGAUCAAACAGG
This 253-nucleotide ribosomal RNA is filed under the name uncultured bacterium. RNAcentral describes it as "partial 16S ribosomal RNA". It matches the Rfam family "Bacterial small subunit ribosomal RNA", at positions 524 to 776 of the family's 1533-position model. The record is from RNAcentral.